RNAcentral lists this ribosomal RNA (666 nucleotides) under Bacillus mobilis. RNAcentral's name for it is "partial 23S ribosomal RNA". It matches the Rfam family "Bacterial large subunit ribosomal RNA", at positions 2210 to 2874 of the family's 2925-position model. The record is from RNAcentral. Lineage: Bacteria; Bacillati; Bacillota; Bacilli; Caryophanales; Bacillaceae. RNAcentral also lists the same sequence under 1 other name.
UGUAUUGAAAUUCUAACCUACGGGUCUUAUCGACCCGGGAGACAGUGUCAGGUGGGCAGUUUGACUGGGGCGGUCGCCUCCUAAAGUGUAACGGAGGCGCCCAAAGGUUCCCUCAGAAUGGUUGGAAAUCAUUCGUAGAGUGCAAAGGCAUAAGGGAGCUUGACUGCGAGACCUACAAGUCGAGCAGGGACGAAAGUCGGGCUUAGUGAUCCGGUGGUUCCGCAUGGAAGGGCCAUCGCUCAACGGAUAAAAGCUACCCCGGGGAUAACAGGCUUAUCUCCCCCAAGAGUCCACAUCGACGGGGAGGUUUGGCACCUCGAUGUCGGCUCAUCGCAUCCUGGGGCUGUAGUCGGUCCCAAGGGUUGGGCUGUUCGCCCAUUAAAGCGGUACGCGAGCUGGGUUCAGAACGUCGUGAGACAGUUCGGUCCCUAUCCGUCGUGGGCGUAGGAAAUUUGAGAGGAGCUGUCCUUAGUACGAGAGGACCGGGAUGGACGCACCGCUGGUGUACCAGUUGUUCUGCCAAGGGCAUAGCUGGGUAGCUAUGUGCGGAAGGGAUAAGUGCUGAAAGCAUCUAAGCAUGAAGCCCCCCUCAAGAUGAGAUUUCCCAUAGCGUAAGCUAGUAAGAUCCCUGAAAGAUGAUCAGGUUGAUAGGUUCGAGGUGGAAGC